This is a regulatory RNA element of Natranaerobius thermophilus JW/NM-WN-LF, 177 nucleotides long. It matches the Rfam family "Ribosomal protein L10 leader". From Rfam's summary of the family: This family is a putative r-protein leader autoregulatory structure found in B. subtilis and other low-GC Gram-positive bacteria. It is located in the 5' untranslated regions of mRNAs encoding ribosomal proteins L10 and L12 (rplJ-rplL). Lineage: Bacteria; Bacillati; Bacillota; Clostridia; Natranaerobiales; Natranaerobiaceae. The record is from Rfam.
AUAAAAUCCGUCUGCUAACCGUAGACAGUAGGUGCCUUUACAGGCUUAAUAACCUACCGAGGUUAGAGAGCGACAUGGGUGAAAUGUAUUCAAUAUUAGCUUAUACUUAAGCUAAACUAUGUCUAUUCGCCUGUAAGGUCUCUACCUGUCUCGGUUGAGACCUUUUUUUGUUUUAAA